This 497-nucleotide ribosomal RNA is filed under the name uncultured bacterium. RNAcentral describes it as "partial 16S ribosomal RNA". It matches the Rfam family "Bacterial small subunit ribosomal RNA", at positions 28 to 507 of the family's 1533-position model. The record is from RNAcentral.
GAUGAACGCUGGCGGCGUGCCUAAUACAUGCAAGUCGAGCGAACGGACGAGGAGCUUGCUUCUCUGAUGUUAGCGGCGGACGGGUGAGUAACACGUGGAUAACCUACCUAUAAGACUGGGAUAACUUCGGGAAACCGUAGCUAAUACCGGAUAAUAUUUUGAACCGCAUGGUUCAAAAGUGAAAGACGGUCUUGCUGUCACUUAUAGAUGGAUCCGCGCUGCAUUAGCUAGUUGGUAAGGUAACGGCUUACCAAGGCAACGAUGCAUAGCCGACCUGAGAGGGUGAUCGGCCACACUGGAACUGAGACACGGUCCAGACUCCUACGGGAGGCAGCAGUAGGGAAUCUUCCGCAAUGGGCGAAAGCCUGACGGAGCAACGCCGCGUGAGUGAUGAAGGUCUUCGGAUCGUAAAACUCUGUUAUUAGGGAAGAACAUAUGUGUAAGUAACUGUGCACAUCUUGACGGUACCCAAUCAGAAAGCCACGGCUAACUACGUG